AUGAAAUUUCAUUUAUGAUAUUAAUCAAAUUUACAAUAAAAAUUUACAUAUAAAUACUUGUAGCAUUUAUUGUAACAAGUAGUACGAGUAGUUCAUUUAAUAAACUACGAAAAUGAAAUUUCUCUUUGCUAUUCUGGUUUUGAGCUUAUUGGCAACUGUACUCGUCAAUGCUCAAUUUAAUAGAGUCGGGCCAGCGUCUCACAGUUACAAUGGUGUUUAUGAAGGACAAAUGAACAUCGAAAAUACCAUGAAUGAUGGUUCUAUUGGAUAAGUCUGUGAGAGAC
Long non-coding RNA from Aethina tumida (small hive beetle), 284 nucleotides. RefSeq lists it as uncharacterized. The record is from RefSeq and is a predicted model, not a curated record. NCBI's taxonomy places the organism in Eukaryota, Metazoa, Arthropoda, Insecta, Coleoptera, Nitidulidae. The transcript has 2 exons.